AUUGAACGCUGGCGGCAUGCUUUACACAUGCAAGUCGAACGGUAACAGGCCGCAAGGUGCUGACGAGUGGCGAACGGGUGAGUAAUGCAUCGGAACGUGCCCAGUCGUGGGGGAUAACUACUCGAAAGAGUAGCUAAUACCGCAUACGAUCUAUGGAUGAAAGCGGGGGACCGUAAGGCCUCGCGCGAUUGGAGCGGCCGAUGUCAGAUUAGGUAGUUGGUGGGGUAAAGGCUCACCAAGCCAACGAUCUGUAGCUGGUCUGAGAGGACGACCAGCCACACUGGGACUGAGACACGGCCCAGACUCCUACGGGAGGCAGCAGUGGGGAAUUUUGGACAAUGGGCGCAAGCCUGAUCCAGCAAUGCCGCGUACAGGAAGAAGGCCUUCGGGUUGUAAACUGCUUUUGUACGGAACGAAACGGCUCUGGUUAAUACCCGGGGCUAAUGACGGUACCGUAAGAAUAAGCACCGGCUAACUACGUG
RNAcentral lists this ribosomal RNA (482 nucleotides) under uncultured bacterium. Its description in RNAcentral is "partial 16S ribosomal RNA". It matches the Rfam family "Bacterial small subunit ribosomal RNA", at positions 30 to 507 of the family's 1533-position model. The record is from RNAcentral.